Molecule: ribosomal RNA, 506 nt
Filed under: uncultured bacterium
Lineage: Bacteria
Description: partial 16S ribosomal RNA
Rfam family: Bacterial small subunit ribosomal RNA
Source: RNAcentral
GAUGAACGCUAGCUACAGGCUUAACACAUGCAAGUCGAGGGGUAACGAGAGGAAAGCUUGCUUUCCUUGUCGACGACCGGCGCACGGGUGAGUAACGCGUAUCCAACCUGCCCCCAACUAGGGAAUAACCUUGCGAAAGUAAGACUAAUACCCUAUAAUUUCCUCAGAUGUCAUCUGACGAGGAAUAAAGAUUUAUCGGUUGUGGAUGGGGAUGCGUCUGAUUAGCUUGUUGGCGGGGUAACGGCCCACCAAGGCAACGAUCAGUAGGGGUUCUGAGAGGAAGGUCCCCCACAUUGGAACUGAGACACGGUCCAAACUCCUACGGGAGGCAGCAGUGAGGAAUAUUGGUCAAUGGGCGGAAGCCUGAACCAGCCAAGCAGCGUGCAGGAUGACGGCCCUAUGGGUUGUAGACUGCUUUUAUACAGGAAUAAAGUUAGCCACGUGUGGUUAUUUGUAGGUACUGUAUGAAUAAGGACCGGCUAAUUCCGUGCCAGCCGCCGCGGUAA